GGCGGCGUGCUUAACACAUGCAAGUCGAGCGGAAAGGCCCUUCGGGGUACUCGAGCGGCGAACGGGUGAGUAACACGUGAGCAACCUGCCCCUGACUCUGGGAUAAGCCCGGGAAACUGGGUCUAAUACCGGAUACGACCGCUUCCCGCAUGGGAUGGCGGUGGAAAGUUUUUUCGGUUGGGGAUGGGCUCGCGGCCUAUCAGCUUGUUGGUGGGGUAGUGGCCUACCAAGGCGACGACGGGUAGCCGGCCUGAGAGGGCGACCGGCCACACUGGGACUGAGACACGGCCCAGACUCCUACGGGAGGCAGCAGUGGGGAAUAUUGCGCAAUGGGCGAAAGCCUGACGCAGCGACGCCGCGUGGGGGAUGACGGCCUUCGGGUUGUAAACCUCUUUCAGCAGGGACGAAGUUGACGUGUACCUGCAGAAGAAGCGCCGGCUAACUACGUGCCAGCAGCCGCGGUAAUACGUAGGGCGCAAGCGUUGUCCGGAAUUAUUGGGCGUAAAGAGCUCGUAGGUGGCUUGUCGCGUCGGGUGUGAAAGCUUGGGGCUUAACUCCAGGUCUGCAUUCGAUACGGGCUGGCUAGAGGUAGGUAGGGGAGAACGGAAUUCCUGGUGUAGCGGUGAAAUGCGCAGAUAUCAGGAGGAACACCGGUGGCGAAGGCGGUUCUCUGGGCCUUACCUGACGCUGAGGAGCGAAAGCGUGGGGAGCGAACAGGAUUAGAUACCCUGGUAGUCCACGCCGUAAACGUUGGGCGCUAGGUGUGGGGGACCUUCCACGGUUUCCGCGCCGUAGCUAACGCAUUAAGCGCCCCGCCUGGGGAGUACGGCCGC
Molecule: ribosomal RNA, 833 nt
Filed under: Streptosporangium sp. IM-7005
Lineage: Bacteria; Bacillati; Actinomycetota; Actinomycetes; Streptosporangiales; Streptosporangiaceae
Description: bacterial SSU rRNA
Rfam family: Bacterial small subunit ribosomal RNA
Source: RNAcentral